Molecule: ribosomal RNA, 458 nt
Filed under: uncultured bacterium
Lineage: Bacteria
Description: bacterial SSU rRNA
Rfam family: Bacterial small subunit ribosomal RNA
Source: RNAcentral
AACGAACGCUGGCGGCAGGCCUAACACAUGCAAGUCGAACGCUCUAGCAAUAGAGAGUGGCAGACGGGUGAGUAACGCGUGGGAACCUUCCCAGUGGUGCGGAAUAGCUCAGGGAAACUUGGGGUAAUACCGCAUGAGCCCGAAAGGGAAAGGAUUUAUCGCCAUUGGAUGGGCCCGCGUAGGAUUAGCUAGUUGGUGAGGUAAUGGCUCACCAAGGCAACGAUCCUUAGCUGGUUUGAGAGAAUGACCAGCCACACUGGGACUGAGACACGGCCCAGACUCCUACGGGAGGCAGCAGUGGGGAAUAUUGGACAAUGGGCGCAAGCCUGAUCCAGCCAUGCCGCGUGAGUGACGAAGGCCUUAGGGUUGUAAAGCUCUUUUGGCGGGGACGAUAAUGACGGUACCCGCAGAAUAAGCCCGGCUAACUUCGUGCCAGCAGCCGCGGUAAACGUAGCGUG